RNAcentral lists this ribosomal RNA (1556 nucleotides) under Escherichia coli. RNAcentral describes it as "bacterial SSU rRNA". It matches the Rfam family "Bacterial small subunit ribosomal RNA". The record is from RNAcentral. Lineage: Bacteria; Pseudomonadati; Pseudomonadota; Gammaproteobacteria; Enterobacterales; Enterobacteriaceae.
UUAAAUUGAAGAGUUUGAUCAUGGCUCAGAUUGAACGCUGGCGGCAGGCCUAACACAUGCAAGUCGAACGGUAACAGGAAACAGCUUGCUGUUUCGCUGACGAGUGGCGGACGGGUGAGUAAUGUCUGGGAAACUGCCUGAUGGAGGGGGAUAACUACUGGAAACGGUAGCUAAUACCGCAUAACGUCGCAAGACCAAAGAGGGGGACCUUCGGGCCUCUUGCCAUCGGAUGUGCCCAGAUGGGAUUAGCUUGUUGGUGGGGUAACGGCUCACCAAGGCGACGAUCCCUAGCUGGUCUGAGAGGAUGACCAGCCACACUGGAACUGAGACACGGUCCAGACUCCUACGGGAGGCAGCAGUGGGGAAUAUUGCACAAUGGGCGCAAGCCUGAUGCAGCCAUGCCGCGUGUAUGAAGAAGGCCUUCGGGUUGUAAAGUACUUUCAGCGGGGAGGAAGGGAGUAAAGUUAAUACCUUUGCUCAUUGACGUUACCCGCAGAAGAAGCACCGGCUAACUCCGUGCCAGCAGCCGCGGUAAUACGGAGGGUGCAAGCGUUAAUCGGAAUUACUGGGCGUAAAGCGCACGCAGGCGGUUUGUUAAGUCAGAUGUGAAAUCCCCGGGCUCAACCUGGGAACUGCAUCUGAUACUGGCAAGCUUGAGUCUCGUAGAGGGGGGGAGAAUUCCAGGUGUAGCGGUGAAAUGCGUAGAGAUCUGGAGGAAUACCGGUGGCGAAGGCGGCCCCCUGGACGAAGACUGACGCUCAGGUGCGAAAGCGUGGGGAGCAAACAGGAUUAGAUACCCUGGUAGUCCACGCCGUAAACGAUGUCGACUUGGAGGUUGUGCCCUUGAGGCGUGGCUUCCGGAGCUAACGCGUUAAGUCGACCGCCUGGGGAGUACGGCCGCAAGGUUAAAACUCAAAUGAAUUGACGGGGGCCCGCACAAGCGGUGGAGCAUGUGGUUUAAUUCGAUGCAACGCGAAGAACCUUACCUGGUCUUGACAUCCACGGAAGUUUUCAGAGAUGAGAAUGUGCCUUCGGGAACCGUGAGACAGGUGCUGCAUGGCUGUCGUCAGCUCGUGUUGUGAAAUGUUGGGUUAAGUCCCGCAACGAGCGCAACCCUUAUCCUUUGUUGCCAGCGGUCCGGCCGGGAACUCAAAGGAGACUGCCAGUGAUAAACUGGAGGAAGGUGGGGAUGACGUCAAGUCAUCAUGGCCCUUACGACCAGGGCUACACACGUGCUACAAUGGCGCAUACAAAGAGAAGCGACCUCGCGAGAGCAAGCGGACCUCAUAAAGUGCGUCGUAGUCCGGAUUGGAGUCUGCAACUCGACUCCAUGAAGUCGGAAUCGCUAGUAAUCGUGGAUCAGAAUGCCACGGUGAAUACGUUCCCGGGCCUUGUACACACCGCCCGUCACACCAUGGGAGUGGGUUGCAAAAGAAGUAGGUAGCUUAACCUUCGGGAGGGCGCUUACCACUUUGUGAUUCAUGACUGGGGUGAAGUCGUAACAAGGUAACCGUAGGGGAACCUGCGGUUGGAUCACCUCCUUACCUUAAAGAAGC